Molecule: long non-coding RNA, 10550 nt
Filed under: Triticum aestivum (bread wheat)
Lineage: Eukaryota; Viridiplantae; Streptophyta; Magnoliopsida; Poales; Poaceae
Description: long non-coding RNA (TAES_LNC001990)
Source: RNAcentral
CCCCUGACCGGAUGACUGGCUUUAAUCCAGGGCCAUGGAACCAUCAUCCCGGCCUCUCCUUUUGGUGUGUACCAGGAAAGCGGUUUGCAACUUACUAAUCCAUAUUCCUUGCGGAAAACAUGUGGUAGUACAAGGAAGGAAAUGGGAGGAACUGGACCGAUACGGUUUGACACUGUAGUCAUAUAGUCUGGCAUAAGACUGGCAUGCUACAACACUGCCAUCUUACCCAUCCUCAUGCCAACACAUGGCCAUUCAUACUCACAUCCAUCCACCUAUGGAUCAUCGAGCUCACUUACCUCAACAAUGCAUGAAAAUAACGUUCAUCGGUAUGCUCAUCAACAUGCCAUGAAACCAACUAAAUGCAAAACAUACCAAGACACUCAUCAUAUCAAAAGUUCAAACAUGCUUGGCUGGCUCAAAGUAGUCGGAUCCUAGCUCGGUGAAGUUCGCGGCUCCGUCACCUCCUUCGGUAUCUACGGUAUAAAGAAAACACACGCGCUAACGUAAAUGCCGAGAGGUGCACAAAAAUUAUUCCAAAUAUUUUUCAAAUAAAUCUGAUAAAAAACUAGACAAAAUUUUAAAGAGAACAGAAAAAGAAUCAAUCAAAAUUACUUUUCUAUUUAAAAGUUAUAAGGGUUUUUGUCCAGGGACUCAUCUGUAAUGAAACAGAAAGUUUCCAGGGGCUAGCUCAUAAAAACAGAAAGCGAUUCGAUAGAGAAUACGCCAGCCCAGGAGGAAAGCGCAUUUGGCAGAAUACGCUUCCAGAAAACGGUUCGUUUAGAAAAGGACAGAGAGGCUGACGGGCAGGUCCCACCCGUCAGGUUUAAAAAUUCAAAAGGGCGGCAGAGGACGACGGUGCCCGAGAGCCGCGGUGGUCGCCGGCGGCGAUCCACGGCGAGGUAGGGGGAUCGGAGGGUACCUCCGUGUUCAGGGCGCCCUUCCGCGUCGGUUGGUGGUGGUGGUGGUCGCCGGCGAGUACCACGUCGACGGCGAGCCUUGCUCCGGUGGACGGCGGCUCGGGUGGAGAUGGAUCUCGUCGGGGAGAGCUGCGAAGGUCAAAUUGACGCUUGGGUUAGCUCACUGGGUGCUCGAGGAUGCUACUGACAAAGUUUAGGCGCCGGAGAUGGCCUCACCGGAGCGAAUCGAGGUGGAGGCCGAGGNNNNNNNNNNGGCGAUGGAUUACGGCGGCGCAGUGCUUGGUCGGGGAGUUUAGGAGGUUGGGCAUCAAUGUGGGGGUCCAUUGGUUCCAUUCAAACGCUAAACGGACUUGGAUUAGAAGCUUAGGGCAGUUUUGGUCGGAACGGGAUGGCGCGGGUCCGUCGGCGGCAGAGAGCGUGUUCUGUGCUUGCCGGGCCACGGUGACUGUGCUGCGGGGUUGCGCUGGCGUGCAUGAGGUCACGCAGAGAGCCAGGGGGUGUUGGGCGGCGCCGAACGGCGUUGAGCCGCCGUUUUGCUCCCUGUCGGCUGCUACGGUGGUUCGGCCGCCGCAAGACACGCCAGCGCAGGCGGGCCAGGGCGCCACCGAUGCCAGGAAGGCGCCAAGCGCGCGUGCGGUGCUCCACAUAGGAGGAAGAGGCGGCGAGGAACGUGCCAAGGGCACUGUCUACGCGUGACUGAAGCGGCCGAAGAGAAACGACACUGGAAUCUGAAUAUUUACUGAAUUUACUGAAAGUGCAAGGAACAGUGCAUGCAAGGUGUUCGACAGAAUGAUACUGGCCUCUAGGGAUUUUUCCUUGAGCUGAUUUUUGGUGGAGUGGCUACUCAUUGCUCCAGUAGGAUGCCUGAAUUUUGUUGGAAUUUUUGGAGAAGUAUAGAUAUGAAUUUCACCAAAUUUGGCAAAUCUGGUCCAAACUUGGAGAGGCUGAAAUUUGAAAAAUUUGAAAAGAGGAGGAGUGGAUCAAGAUGGUUCUAGGUUGUGGAUGCUAAGGACAAUCCAGAGGAGUUGGUUUGAGGUCAAAACUCAAAUGAAAUAGGGUACUUGCUUUGAAAAACACUCAGCUCCAAAAAUUGACAGAAAUGAUUUGAGAGGAAAAAUAAUUAGAAUAAAAUCCAAAAACUUGUUUGGAUUAGUUGGGACAGAGAACUUAGGUUGAUUACAAGGAGGAGGAAAGGAUUUUGAGAGGUUUUACCCCAUGGGCAAAAAUACAAGGUCAUGGGGGGGGGGGUUCAAGAUAUGAAAAUCCCCAAUUUUCAUAGAGUUUCUUUUUAAAAGAAAAAGACUAAACUCCCAAUAAAAUAAUUUGAGAAGGGGAACCAUCAGAGGAAGUUUUGAAUGAUCAAACACCAUAGUUUGAGGAAAAAUAAAAAUCCUUACCAAAGAAAAGGAAGUUUUUAAGAGGAAGGAUUUCUAGAAAAGAAAUUUUAAAUGCUCUCUUUUAAAACCCAACAAAGUUUUUGAAGAAAACCAAAUUAAAAAUUUUGGAGUGUCACAACACCUACCCACUUAGGAAAAAUCUCGUCCCCGAGAUUUCAGCUGUCCCUCAAAUAAGUGUGGAUGCUCUGUCUGAAGAAAAUCCUCCCUUUCCCAAGUUGCUUCACUGUCGGUGUGAUUGCUCCACUGGACUCUGAAGAAUUUGAUGGUCUUCUGUCGGGUCCUCCUUUCAGACUCCUCUAAUAUUCUUACUAGACGUUCCCGAUAAGUGAGGUCUGGUUGCACGUCAAUGCUCUCAUGGGAUACUUGUUUCUCUGGGUUGCUUACGCACUUCCUCAAUUGCGAGACGUGGAACACGUCGUGGACAUCGGAUAAUUCCUCGGGUAAGUCUAGCUGGUAGGCUACCAUGCCUCUUCGCGCCAUUAUACAGAAUGGUCCAAUGAAUCUUGGUGCUAGCUUCCCUUUAAUCUUGAAUCGUUGCAAUCCUCUCAUAGGAGAUACUCUCAGGUAUACGAACUCACCGGGCUUGAAACUGACCCUACGAUGUUUCUGAUCAUAAUAACUCUUCUCUCGACUUUGAGCGGUCUUAAGUCGGUCUCUGAUUAGCUUGACUUUUUCCUCGGCUUCUCUGAGCAUGUCUGGUCCGAAGAUGCGGCUGUCUCCGGUCCCUGACCAAUUCAACGGGGUACGACAUCUCCGUCCGUAUAAAGCCUCAAAUGGUGCCAUUUGCAGGCUGGCCUGGUAGCUAUUGUUGUACGCGAACUCAGCGUAUGGCAGGCUUUCUUCCCAACUGGUUCCAUAUGUGAGGACACAUGCCCUCAGCAUGUCUUCUAAAACCUGGUUUACGCGUUCCGUUUGUCCAUCAGUCUGUGGGUGGUAUGCUGUACUGAAGGCUAGUUGAGUUCCCAGAGCCUGUUGUAAAUGCUCCCAAAAUCUCGAGACGAAUUGAGUGGCCCUGUCGGAUAUUAUGGUCUUCGGGACACCGUGCAGACAAACUAUACGGGAGAGAUAGAUCCUGGCAAGCCUCUGAGCGUUGUAGGUUGUCUUCACUGGAAUGAAAUGUGCCACUUUGGUUAAUCUGUCGGUGAUGACCCAUAUGGUAUCAUUCCCAUGUCGUGAUCGAGGUAGUCCGACAAUGAAAUCCAUCCCUAUUUCAUCCCAUUUCCACUCAGGUAUUUUGUUCGGUUGCAGUAGUCCGGCUGGCCUCUGAUGCUCAGCUUUUAUGCGUUGACAAGAGUCGCAACAUGCAAUGAAGGUGGCUAUGUCCCUCUUCAUACCGUGCCACCAAAAUCUUUCCUGAAUAUCUUUAUACAUCUUGGUUCCUCUAGGGUGGAUCGAGUACGGGGCGGUGUGGGCUUCAGCUAGGAUUUGCUGUUUGAGGUCCUUCAUAUCUGGUACGCAGAGUCUGUCUCCGUACCAUAAUAUUCCUUCAUCGUCUAUGACGAAUGCCGAGGCCUUGCCCAUACUUACCUUUCUUUUGAUGCCUUCGAUGCUGGGGUGACCCGGCUGAGCUUCUUUAAUUCCCUCCACAAGGUCGGGUUGUAUUUCCAAGUUUGAUAUGGUGCCUUUUGCUACCAUUAUCAAGUUGAGUUUGGCAAAUUCUUGUUGGAAUUCGGGCCUCAAGCUUUGCAGACUGUUUUCGUCGGAGCUGGGGUUCCGACUAAGAGCAUCGGCCACUACAUUUGCUUUACCUGGAUGGUAGUGGAUACCAACAUCAUAAUCCUUUACCAAUUCCAACCAGCAUCAUUGCCGUAAAUUUAGUUCUGGCUGCGUGAAAAUAUAUUUGAGACUUUUGUGAUCCGUAUAUAUUUCACAUUGAUUCCCAAGUAAGAAAUGCCUCCAUUCCUUGAGUGCAUGAAUGACUGCUGCCAUUUCCAAGUCAUGAGUGGGAUAAAUUUCCUCAUACUUGCGAAGUUGCCUUGAAGCAUAGGCAACAACCUUGCCUUCUUGCAUCAACACGCAUCCGAGACCCUUUCUGGACGCGUCACAAAACACUUCAAAAUUUUUGUGUAUGUCUGGCACAAUUAAUACUGGUGCUGUUGUUAAUUUCCGCUUUAGCUCUUGGAAACUUUUUUCGCAGGCUUCUGUCCAUUCAAACUUCUUGUCUUUCUUGAGUAACAGCGUCAUAGGCUUGGCUAUGGUGGAGAAUCCUUCAAUAAAUCUGCGGUAAUAUCCUGCCAUUCCCAAGAAACUACGUAUGUCUGUUACGCUCGCUGGCGACUUCCAGCCAAGUAUGGCCUUGACUUUCUCUGGGUCCACUGCGAUACCGUCUUGGGUUAGUAUGUGGCCUAGAAAGCCUACUUGCCUUAGCCAAAAUUCGCACUUGCUGAACUUGGCAUACAAUUGGUGUUUCCUGAGUUCUCCUAGCACAAUCCUGAGAUGUUCUGCGUGCUCUUCUGGUGUCUUGGAGUAUACCAGAAUGUCGUCGAUGAAUACCACAACGAACUUGUCCAUUAUCUUCAUAAAUACUUUGUUCAUGAGGUGAACAAAAUAUGCAGGGGCAUUAGUUAAUCCAAAUGGCAUUACUGUGAACUCAUACAGUCCAUAUCUGGAGGUGAAGGCUGUUUUGGGGAUAUCUUCCAUUCGCACCUUUAAUUGAUGGUAUCCAGACCUUAAGUCAAUUUUUGAGAAUACCUUGGCCUGAGCGAGUUGAUCAAACAAAUCAUUUAUCCUUGGCAUCGGGUAUUUGUUCUUGACUGUGACCAUGUUAAGUGCUCGAUAGUCGAUACACAAUCUCAGUGUUCCAUCCUUCUUUUUGGCAAAUAGAAUUGGUGAUCCCCAAGGUGAGGAGCUGGCCCGAAUGUAUCCUUUGUCCAGCAAUUGUUUUAUUUGUUUCUUCAAUUCAACCAACUCGGAUGGUGCCAUUCGGUAUGGUUUCUUGUAUAUGGGGGUGGUUCCUGGUGCGUGCUCAAUGCAGAACUCUAUCUCUCGGCCUGGUGGCAUGCCUGGUAGCUCUUCAGGGAAUACGUCUGGAAAUUCACACACUACUAGAACCUUGUUUAGCUCAGAAACGUCCACCUUAUUCAAUCUUGGUUGCCGGGUUUUUUUUCCUUCCUUGGCUGACACUCUUAUUGUCUUCCCGUGGUGGUGUGUGAGGAUUACGGUCCGGUUGAAACAGUCAAUAAAACCCUUGUUGGUGGUUAGCCAGUCCAUCCCUAGGAUGACAUCUAGUCCUUUGUUUUCUAGUACAAUAAGAUUGGCGUGAAACUCCAAUCCUUUGAACUCAAUGACCACAUUCUGACAGUAAUUCUGAGUAACUUGCUGAAUCCCAGGGGACUUGAUGAUCAUGGAUUUUUCCAAAGGAAGCAUUGAAAAAUUAUUUUGCAAAGCAAAACUUUUCGAGAUGAAAGAGUGAGAAGCUCCAGAAUCAAACAAAACCAUUGCAGGUAUUGUGUUGACAGGAAACGUACUGAGUACGAUAUCCGUAGCAUUUUGUGCCUCCUCUUUGGUUACGUGGUUUAGAUGACCCUUCCUGUGGUUGUUGCUGGGAUUGAAAUUGUUUCGCUUGGGCGCUGAAUUAUUGCCGCCGUUGUUUGGCUUUGGGGUUGAGUUUCUAGGCUUGGGACACUGUUUGGCAUAGUGUCCUUCCUCUCCACAAGUGUAACAGGUAACGCCUGGGCGAUAUGUGAACUCCUUGUCCCUUGCAUGAAAAUUCUUGAUUGGGCGUGAGAUGUUGGAUGAGGAUUUGUGCGUCCCACCCUUUUCGAAAUUUGUCCUGCUUCGGUGAUUGCGAGCAUGGUUGGUCUGGUCCCUUUUUCGCUUGCGGAUAUCUUCCAGGCUGCGUCUCUCAUUUUCCAGAGUAAUCGCUUUGUCCACCAGAGUUUUAAAAUCUGGAAAAGUGUGCACGACUAGUUGGCAUUUAAGCGCGGGCGCCAGACCGUCAAGGAAUUUCUCCAUCUUCUUACUUUCAGUCAUACGCUCCUCAUUGGCGUAGCGAGACAAUAGAGUAAAUUGACCGUUGUAAUCUGCCACUGUCAUGUUCCUUUGUUUGAGGUCAUCGAACUCUCUUUUCUUGAUUUUCAUAAUGCUCUUAGGAAUGUGCGCACCACGGAAACCUUCCUUGAAAUCAUCCCAGGUUAUGUCAUUUUCGUUGGGAUGCAUGUGCAGAAAAUUCUCCCACCACGAUGCGGCUGCUCCUGUGAGAUAGUGCGGAGCAUACAAUACCUUUUCGGGGUCUGAACAUUUUGCAAUAAUUAAUUUCCUCUCCAUAUCUCGAAGCCAGUCCUCGGCUUCAAGAGGCUUGUCAGUAUGAGAAAAUGUUUGGGGACGCGUGUUUUGUAGCUCAGAUAACUUGGAAUGCUGCUGAUACUAUCCAUGGUGAUUUCCCAUGUUGAUGACUUGGUUCAUCAUUUCACGAUGUUGUUGCUGACUCUGUUCAUAAAGGCAGCACAUUUGGGAAAGUGCCAUUUCACUGCCCUGUUGACUCGACUGCCCUUGUGUGAAAUUGUUGCCUGGUUGAGUGUCAUAAUUUUCCUCUGGCGGAGUAGGCAUGGAGCGAGUCCAAGGAUGAGACAUUUUUCACUCUGGGGAUAUAUUUUGUAAAACUCAUAAGAAAAGUGAAUAUGGUCGCCAAAAACAACUCCAAAAAUGCACAAGGAUGGCAAAUAAUUUAAAUGACCAAGAUCACUUAAGAAAACAAAUUGAUUUGAGCACGGAGAAGGACUGCUCAUUACAUAUCUUACACGCGGGCGAUAAUUAUACAGUACAUCACUCAGGAUAUGCGCACAUAAUCCUGACAUGUUAUUUAGGCUAGUACACUUCUCCAGUUCUACAUGAUGCGCAAACAAGCUACUUCUCACAACCUAUGUACAUAUCUUACAAAGCGGUACAUUGCAUGACAGGCAAACGCACUCAGCCGGAAAUGUUGACGAUCUCCUUGGCCCUGCCAAGGGUGAGGCGCAGUGAGGCUGGGGACUCGACCUCCUCCUCACUAAUAGGCUCCAAACGUGAAGAGCCGCAUCGGGUAGAUGGAGCGGGUGCCAGGGGCGGAGCAACACGAAUAGGAGUGGGCACAACGGGUGGUGCAGUGUGCGCUGGAGUGGGCGCAAAGGCCUGGUUGAACCCUUCGGUGGUAGGUAGGUGACGAGUAGGUGCAUGAGAUGCUGAGGACGAGACAAAAGUCAGUGGCGGUGCGGUGAGCAGGAGCUCCCUCCUGUUGGCGGCGCAGCCAUGGACUGAGUCCAUGCGGGCAGCCACGAAGUCGUCCACCAGGUUGUCGAAGGCUGCCUCCAGAGCCCGGAGAUACUCAAUAAGCAUCUCAAAAGCCUCGUCUCGUUCUCCUCUGGGGCAGGAGAAUGCGUAGUGACAGGUGUAGGGCACAUGACAUGGAAGAUAGCGGUAGCGACGAGUCUUCAUCGCGGGAAGGACAUCCCUGAGGCGAGCUAUCGCCUCGCGGGCUGCCAUCUGCAUAGCAUGCCUCUUCGUAGGCAUGGCUCUUCCCACGAACAGGAAGCAGUGUAACUCACCACGCCCUCCCUUGAACUGCACCGUGGCCUGGUGCAUGGUCAGACUGUCGUUGACUUUGUGCUGGCGGAGUGUGAAGACUGGGCGCACGGAUGGCCCCAUCGCGACCUGAACGAUGAAGGAGAGAAGCUUGACGAACCCAUCGGGUACGUUGGCGAAGGUCUGAGACUCGCAGCUGUUGUCGGCCAUCUACAAAAGUAGGCAAAAAUCCUGAAUGGUCAGAUCAUAAAUUUAUGCUGACUGUCAGAAAAUGACUACAAUUGCAAAAAAAAAAAUCGGCUCUAUCAUGCUAAUAACCGAUUAGUGAUCGCACCUAGUGGCUUCCUACAGUCAGCCUGGCUCUGGUACCAAGCUUGUCACGACCAGUUUUCCAAUAAAAAUAAUUAUUGAAAAACCAAUCUUUUGAGUCCAGCAUGAGAGAAAUCCUCCUCACUGGUAGACAAGUUCUUGAUACAAUAAGCCAGUAGCAUAGAAUAUAUUACAGGGUUGAGCUAGGGUUGCUCAACAAAUUAUUACAAGUGCGCCAAUAAUUAUACAUAAUGGCGGGUUCAACACAAUGGUGUGGUGGCAUACUACUGACUCGAGGAUAAAGUGAUGGUGGGAUAACACGUGGGGAGUGUGAUAACAUGACUCUCAAACUGGCAUCACAUCGAGCAUCGAGGUGAGGCUCGAUGAAUGUUAUUCGAGUUGCAGAAGCGGAUAUAAUACAGUGACCAAAUCCAGGGUCGCACGAGACUGACUGGGAUUCCUCUAGGCGUCGGACUCGCUAUCGAACUCUUCAUCCAAGAGAUCGCCUUCGUCAGCAUCUGGCCAAAUCAACAAGCCAGUGAGUACUUUGAAAGUACUCGCAAGACAGUUCGGACGUAAGAUAUAACAAAUGCAUGCAUGAAUGCGUCAUGAUUAAUCUUUCCAAUGCACAUCCAAAAAUUUGCAUAACGAAGUAAGUACAAGGGAAACGGCGGUAGUCCGCCUGAAAUCCCAACAAAAUAUAAACGAAAACCGAUCGAGUGUCUGAAGCGACGCCUCGAAAGGUGAACAAAUAAUAACAGAAAAUCACGCCACAGUCGGGCGUCUUAGCGACACCACAUAAAGGGCUUUAAAAGAAAUGCCACAGUCGGACGUCUGAGCGACAUCACAGAAAGGGCUUUAAAAGAAAUGCCACUGUCGGACGUCUGAGCGACAUCACAGAAAGGGCUUUAAAAGAAAUGCCACAGUCGGACGUCUGAGCGACAUCACAGAAAGGGCUUUAAAAGAAAUGCCACAGUCGGACNNNNNNNNNNNNNNNNNNNNNNNNNNNNNNNNNNNNNNNNNNNNNNNNNNNNNNNNNNNNNNNNNNNNNNNNNNNNNNNNNNNNNNNNNNNNNNNNNNNNNNNNNNNNNNNNNNNNNNNNNNNNNNNNNNNNNNNNNNNNNNNNNNNNNNNNNNNNNNNNNNNNNNNNNNNNNNNNNNNNNNNNNNNNNNNNNNNNNNNNNNNNNNNNNNNNNNNNNNNNNNNNNNNNNNNNNNNNNNNNAAGAAAUGCCACAGUCGGUCGUCUGAGCGACAUCACAGAAAGGGCUUUAAAAGAAAUGCCACAGUCGGACAUCUGAGCGACAUCAUAGAAAGGGCUUCAAAAGAAAUGCCACAGUCGGACGUCUGAGCGACAUCGCAGAAAGGGCUUUAAAAGAAAUGCCACACUCGAACGUCUGAGCGACAUCACAGAAAGGGCUUUUAUUCACAAGUAAAUAAUACUCAUAAUAAAUAUUCAAUUCAUGAUAAUAAACGGGUUAGUCCAUCCACAGGAAUAAACAUUUAACCGGGCUUAGCACUCAUGUGAUUCACCGGAGUAUCUGUCACCAAAACUGGCACUUGUCGGAAUAAGUCAGCGCAAAAUUUGGAUAUGGAUAAGAUGAUUUGGAGAUUUAUGACUCUGCAGAGUUUGUACAAAAAUUUCCCACAGUUAACGGAUUUCCGUAGUCACGAAGGACUAGUUCCGUUUACGGUAUUUCGGAAGAAAACACAGCUAACCAGUACACACCCAUCCUAUCUCUCGAUGCCAGGACUCACCCUAGACAUCGUCCAAGAAAAACUUUGAGACGGGGAGAUCACAAUCUCGAAUGGUAUGGGAUCAAAUUUAUAUACGCGCGCUCUAAGGGGUGCCCCCCUCUCGGUCCCAACCGGAAACACCCAUGCCCCCUGACCGGAUGACUGGCUUUAAUCCAGGGCCAUGGAACCAUCAUCCCGACCUCUCCUUUUGGUGUGUACCAGGAAAGCGGUUUGCAACUUACUAAUCCAUAUUCCUUGCGGAAAACAUGUGGUAGUACAAGGAAGGAAAUGGGAGGAACUGGACCGAUACGGUUUGACACUGUAGUCAUAUAGUCUGGCAUAAGACUGGCAUGCUACAACACUGCCAUCUUACCCAUCCUCAUGCCAACACAUGGCCAUUCAUACUCACAUCCAUCCACCUAUGGAUCAUCGAGCUCACUUACCUCAACAAUGCAUGAAAAUAACGUUCAUCGGUAUGCUCAUCAACAUGCCAUGAAACCAACUAAAUGCAAAACAUACCAAGACACUCAUCAUAUCAAAAGUUCAAACAUGCUUGCCUAGUUCAGAGUAGUCGGAGCCUAGCUCGGUGAAAUUCGCGGCUCCGUCACCUCCUUCGGUAUCUAUGGUAUAAAGAAAACACACGCGCUAACGUAAAUACCGAGAGGUGCACAAAAAGUAUUCCAAAUAUUUUUCA